GCAGCAACUUCUUAUCAACAGGCUUGUUGGAUAUGAUAUUAUUCUGAUUAAUAGUUUGUUGAGUUCUCCGGGUCAAGGUUGGGUUGGCUGAUAUUCUAGAUAUGUAUGAAGAUGUGUAUACACUUCCUUCUAAACAACUGUCUUCUGGUGCAGUUGCAAAGGCUGUGAAUCUUUCUUCUCGUAAGGUAUUUCAUUUGCAUUUGAGACUACUGCCUAUACCCAAAGCUCUAAAAUAUUUUAUUUCUUGUUACUUUUUGAAACUGUGACAAGCUGACAAUGUGACUUCUCAUCAGAAGAAGACAAUUAGUUUAGCCCUUUCUAUAAUUUUGACAUUAAGGCUGCCUCAAGUACUAGAUAAAUUCGAACAAAUUCUAAGGUAUUUACUCAGCUUUUAUUUUGAUUCAUUGCUGCAUAUUUUCUGGUUUUAUAUAUAAAUAAUUCAAAUACUGUAAAUAAUGAUCCCUCGGUGUCGUGGUUUUUUGAGGCACAAGGAGGAUCAUACAUUGAGAUUAUCCAUUGCAAACUGAUGAGUGGAAAGUAUAUUUCGGUUUGUUUCGAUGAGCAUUUGACAUAGAUCAGUUCAAUUCUCAUUGCUGCUUGGAAUUUGGUUAUUGGCUUUUUCCUUGUGGUUCUUUUGUAUGAUGGACAAGUUGUCUCUUGGAAGAAUGAACAGAGAGAAGAGUUGCUAUUCAGGUUCUAAGUAGUUUAUUAUCAAAAAGAUAGACUACUUUUACUUGACUCAUUCUAGUUCCUUAAUUUUUGAAUCUAAUUGCAAUUUUAAUUCCUAUGUUUGAACCAAACACCGUACCCAUGAUUUAAUAUUCGUUUGUUCUUUAGAUCAAGAAUUAGAUUCAAUGGAAAAAUUUGUACUUCUUAA
Molecule: long non-coding RNA, 877 nt
Organism: Ipomoea nil (Japanese morning glory)
Lineage: Eukaryota; Viridiplantae; Streptophyta; Magnoliopsida; Solanales; Convolvulaceae
Exons: 3
Source: RefSeq, a predicted model, not a curated record